AACGAACGCUGGCGGCGUGGAUAAGACAUGCAAGUCGAGCGCUGAUUACGAGGUAGCAAUAUUUCGUGGUCGGAGCGGCGCAAGGGUGCGUAACACGUGGGUAAUCUGCCAUGAAGUCCGGGAUAACUUGCUGAAAGGCGAGCUAAUACCGGAUGUGAAAGUCGCAAGGCAUCUUGUGACUUUUGAAGCUGGGGACCGUAAGGCCUGGCGCUCCAUGAUGAACCCGCGGCCUAUCAGCUAGUUGGUGAGGUAACGGCCCACCAAGGCUAAGACGGGUAGCUGGUCUGAGAGGACGACCAGCCACACUGGAACUGAGACACGGUCCAGACACCUACGGGAGGCAG
This 344-nucleotide ribosomal RNA is filed under the name uncultured Verrucomicrobiota bacterium. RNAcentral describes it as "bacterial SSU rRNA". It matches the Rfam family "Bacterial small subunit ribosomal RNA", at positions 29 to 351 of the family's 1533-position model. The record is from RNAcentral. Lineage: Bacteria; Pseudomonadati; Verrucomicrobiota.